This is a long non-coding RNA of Dermatophagoides farinae (American house dust mite), 672 nucleotides long. RefSeq lists it as uncharacterized. The record is from RefSeq and is a predicted model, not a curated record. Lineage: Eukaryota; Metazoa; Arthropoda; Arachnida; Sarcoptiformes; Pyroglyphidae.
UUGAAUCGAAAAUCGAUUUUGAAAUAUGAUGAACAAUGCAACAAAAAAAAAUAAAAAAAAUUAGAAAUGUAAAUAACAAACGAAUGAUGACGACCUGAAACCUAAAAAUAGUUUUUUUUCAACCAUCAUCAUCAUCAUCAUCAUGUUCAAUGCCUGCCCUAAAGACGUCGAAAAAUUCAACAUUGAAAUAAUCAAACUAACACACACACACACCGACUGAUGAUGACUGGCAUCGCACCAAAUUGGGAUACCGAAUUGUCGACGAUUAUUACAUUAUAAUGAUGAUGAUUCCAUCACACAUCACACCGAAUUCGGAUGAAAAACAAAAAUUUAAAAACUAAGACACACGUCAAUAAAGAAUUUUACUAUUUAAUGAAGUAUGUGUAUUAUUGCCUAACAACAACGACAACAACAACAACAACAAUUUAUUAUUGAAUGAGAUAUUUAGAAUCUGGAUCGUAUAAAAUUGGUUCAGAUCAUAGAUAAUAUAUAUCGGAGGGGAACAAAAUUUCAGAAUCGAAAAAAAAGAAAGAAAGAAAUCAAGGCAGAUUGAAAAAACCGCUCAAAACCAAACACAAAUGAACAAUGAAUGUCGAUGUUGAUGGUCAGUGGCACUACUUAAUCGAAUUUUGAAAUUAAUUUAAUAUAAAUAUAAAAUUUUGAAAAGUUUCA